This is a long non-coding RNA of Dreissena polymorpha, 2265 nucleotides long. RefSeq lists it as uncharacterized. The transcript is spliced from 2 exons. Lineage: Eukaryota; Metazoa; Mollusca; Bivalvia; Myida; Dreissenidae. The record is from RefSeq and is a predicted model, not a curated record.
AGCGUGACGUACUAUGUAGGGUUGCCCCCCUUUACUUCGAACAAAGGACAAAGUACAGAAAAGUUUACUUAGUUGUAAACAAGGUUGACACUCGGACGUGUAUGGCGGAUGUUCUCGGGUUUUAACAAUUGAUUUGUUUAUUUUAUCGUGUAUUUGAAGGAUUAGAGUGAGUUUUUUUAAGAAAAAAGGCCUAACAUUUUUUUAUCGUAUAUCUGUGGAAAAUGCACGGUUGGGAACGAAUAACGCGCAUGUGCGGCUUAGGUUGCAAGGUGUUCUGGAGUCCAUGGGCACAGGGUGACAAACCAUACGACGCCGUGCACAAGGAUGAUGUCGAUGACGGUGAUGUUAAUGAACCGGUGAUGGCCGAACCCCAAAAGCCAAUGUGGUCGGAUAUGACGUUCUUGGCUCCUAUCGUGAAGAACAAGACCGGAAGUGUCGGUAACAUCAGAAUGAACGCGUCUUAUGACGAUAUUGCAACAGAAGACUUCUCAUCGAAGUCAAACGCAAAAAGAAACAGCGUUGCGAUUGUUGAGGACAGCAAGAACUCGUACGAGAAAAUAGAACCAAAAAGAAACAGCGCUUACGAAAAAAUAGUGCCAAAAAGAAACAGCGCUUUACUUAACGAAACUGUAACCUCACUGUCUAAACAUGGUGAAAAAAGAAACAGCAGCGUCGAUUUGAACACGAGCGCAAUGUCAACAAAAGCUCUUCUGAAAGAUUCGCAGCUAGGUGGAAGCACUAGGAGCUUGGCCGACGAAAAGUUGCACGUGAUGGAAUUGGUAACAACAGUUUAAGAAGCUUUCAUUGUGAAUACGUUGUGAUCGAAAUGCGGCCCGCCUCUUUAUAAAAUGUUUGCAUAAAAUUACCGUUUAUCUAUGUGCAAAUGCAUUGUACGUUUGGUGCUCAGUUAGCAUGUACACUAUUUCCGCCUGCAGAUACUAAAUAAGUAUUUGCAUCCAUGAUUUACCGUGGUUUGUGAACAAUAUGAUGGAGUGGAUCGCCGUUCUGGUUCACUGACGAACAAUAGAUGUAUAAAUGCAUUGUCAUUGUACAUAUAUUACAUGCUAAUAUUUCAAAGUAACCAGAUGUUUUCCUAUUAUUUACAAAAGCAGGGAUACAUGCUGUGUAUACUGAUUGAGGAAUAGCAUAGAACAAUCAUUGAGUCAUUAUACAUCUUUAACCCAUUCAUGCCUAGUGGACUCUCCCAUUGUUCUAAAUUGGAUCAAUUUAUUAUCAAAAUUAGGGAUGUCUGGUAUAUUUUUUCCUAUAUUUAGAAUAUUUCUUACAGAAAUUCUUUUAAGCAAACAGCGCAGACCCUGAUGAGACGCCGCAUCAUGCGGCGUCUCAUCUGGGUCUACGCUGUUUGUCAAGGAUUUUUUUCUAGACGCUAGGCAUAAAUGGGUUAAUCGUUUUGCAAUGUUUUUCUUAGUCAUUGUUUUUUUCAACAAUGUCAUUUUAAAAACAUACACUUACAGGAAUAAUUAUUUUGUUUUUAUCACUUUUAUUGUGCAAUACUGAACAAAUGGACCGUGCUCUGUGAAAAGGGGGUUUAAUGAAGACACAGGGACCAGGGACAACACUUUCCGCUUUUAUGGUAUUUAUCGUUUGCAGAAAGUCUCUUCUAAGCAAAUAUCCAGUUUAGGCGGAAAGUGUCAUCAAUAAUUAGCCUAUGUGGACUGCACAGGCUAAUCUCGGACGACACUUUACGCACAUGCAUUAAACCCCCCUUUUCAUAGAGCGCAACCCAAUAGUACCGAAGGUUCUGCUACUGCUAUUUUGCCAUUUUAAUUUGCCAUUGUUUUAUUUUUCUUCUGUUUUUGCCACUCACUGUUAUUUUUUACUUUUCUUUGAGUAGGGAUGACUAUACCAGCUUUAAAGUUGUCGUUAUAUGUAUUAUAUUUAAAUGAUCAAAUUAUGUUGCAAUAUUAAUAUACAAUUUUACCAACAAGAAAUAGAAACACUGUCACAUUUUCAAUACAUAACAAACGUUGGAAAUUCUUGUAGUUACAAAAAAAACUAUUGUUUAUAAUUAGCGUAUCAUUUUAUGUUUUAAUCAUUUUUAGCUUUAAUGAUUGAUACAACGAUAUAAUUUGAUUUAUUUCCAAAAUAUUUGUAUGAUAUGCUGUGAUGAAUACCAAUUCUUGUAUUUAAUCAGAUACAUUUCUUCUUAUCGUCCUUAUGCUAUAAAUGACAUAUUUUAUGUACCAAAAACGUUGCAGUUAUAAUCAUGAUCAUGUGUCUCUUGAAAAUAAAAUGUUUGUUAAA